Molecule: ribosomal RNA, 484 nt
Filed under: uncultured bacterium
Lineage: Bacteria
Description: partial 16S ribosomal RNA
Rfam family: Bacterial small subunit ribosomal RNA
Source: RNAcentral
AUUGAACGCUGGCGGCAGGCCUAACGCAUGCAAGUCGAGCGGAUGAAGGGAGCUUGCUCCUGGAUUCAGCGGCGGACGGGUGAGUAAUGCCUAGGAAUCUGCCUGGUAGUGGGGGAUAACGUCCGGAAACGGGCGCUAAUACCGCAUACGUCCUGAGGGAGAAAGUGGGGGAUCUUCGGACCUCACGCUAUCAGAUGAGCCUAGGUCGGAUUAGCUAGUUGGUGGGGUAAAGGCCUACCAAGGCGACGAUCCGUAACUGGUCUGAGAGGAUGAUCAGUCACACUGGAACUGAGACACGGUCCAGACUCCUACGGGAGGCAGCAGUGGGGAAUAUUGGACAAUGGGCGAAAGCCUGAUCCAGCCAUGCCGCGUGUGUGAAGAAGGUCUUCGGAUUGUAAAGCACUUUAAGUUGGGGGGAAGGGCAGUAAGUUAAUACCUUGCUGUUUUGACGUUACCAACAGAAUAAGCACCGGCUAACUUCGUG